Molecule: small nuclear RNA, 106 nt
Organism: Oryctolagus cuniculus (rabbit)
Lineage: Eukaryota; Metazoa; Chordata; Mammalia; Lagomorpha; Leporidae
Source: Ensembl
GCUCUCCUUGGCAGAAUAUGCACUAAAAUUGGAACAAUACAGAGAAAAUUACUAUGGCCCCUUCAACAUGGUUAAUGUGCAAAUUUGUGAAGUGUUCUGUAUUUUA